RNAcentral lists this long non-coding RNA (1371 nucleotides) under Mus caroli (Ryukyu mouse). RNAcentral describes it as "lncRNA (MGP_CAROLIEiJ_G0003713.1)". The record is from RNAcentral. Lineage: Eukaryota; Metazoa; Chordata; Mammalia; Rodentia; Muridae.
GAGGCCUCAGAGCAGCUGUUCAGGUUCACCGUUGGGGCUUUGUGCUCUGUUAACUGCGAGCGUUUGUUAGUAGGCAUGUAGGCCAUGAGUGAAUGGAUUUACUGGAUUAUUUAUUUACUUGUUUAUUUAUAGACAGGGGCUCUCAAUGUAGUCCAGGCUGGCCAGGAACUUACUAUGUAGACCAGGCUGACCUCGAAUUCAGAUAUCUAUCCAGUUGCUUCUGCCCUCAGGGUUUAAAGGCACAUGCGUGGGUGUUUUUAGACGAGCAGAUGAUAUUCAACAAGACGAAGAACAUGGCUGCUUCCCUCUGUCCCCAGAGGACUGGCAGGGUUGUCCUGAUGUAUGUGGGCACUCAGGAGGAUGUCGGGCUAGGGUCAACGUUAAGGGAGAUACUCAUCACAGAGCCUAUGCCAGGCAGACUCAGUUACCUGAUGUACGGAGCAUGCUUUGCACCCGAUUUCCUAGAUGACAAAGCACAGAGGCACAGAUUAAGACAAUGUCACUGAUCAAGAUGUGAGCUCUCAGCUUUUCCAGCCACCACAUCUUUGCUCUGCAAUCAGGAACUCUCUGGAACUGGAGGCCCCAAACCACAUGCUUUCUCUUUUAUAAGUUGUCUCAGCCAUGGGGUUUUAUCACAGCAAUAGAACAGAAGCUAAGACAGAGCCCAUGGCCUUUUACGUGCUAGGGAAGUGCUCUCCCAUUGGCCACACAGCCCCAGGCCAGUGACAUCAUUCUUCAUGCGUUUUCUUGAGACAAAUGUUGACUGAAUCAUCAACUAAGGGAACUUUUUCUGUGGUAAGCCAGGCCUUCUGGCACAGUGAUAACUAUUUGAUAAAUACAUCAUAUCUUGUCAUAACUAGAUUGCAAAUGGAGUCCACAGCACAUCGGUGUCAAAUGAGGAAAAUCUUGCAAAUAUUAACUCCUAUAAUCAGUUUUCAAGAUUCAUUAGAGUGGUCUAAGCCAAUCAUCCCAGGACAGGCUCCAUACCAGCCUUUAGAGUAAGACUCUGGGUAAACAAAAAGCUUCACAAGAAGUUCAGAUGGCUGUGUGUGGUGUAAUCUCAGCACUCAGAAGACUGUUGCAAGUUCAAGGCCAGCCUAGUCUACACAGCAAGACCUGUCUUGAUGGGGGUUAGAGGUUAAGGGAAAGAGAGAUGGAACAGAAGACAAAACCAGUCUUCUUCAUUACCUAUUUUUGCAUAAUUUAUUAUUAAAUUUUGUUAUUGUUAAUAAAGGAUGAUAAAAUGGAGACUUUAGUAAGGUUGAAUUAGUAUGUAUGUGUAUAUGUAUAAAUAUAUAUUUACUUUUAAAAAACAUCAUUUGCUAUAUAUAAAGUUACUUAUAAGUACACUUCUAUAAAUAUGUCAUAAUA